RNAcentral lists this ribosomal RNA (253 nucleotides) under uncultured bacterium. Its description in RNAcentral is "partial 16S ribosomal RNA". It matches the Rfam family "Bacterial small subunit ribosomal RNA", at positions 524 to 776 of the family's 1533-position model. The record is from RNAcentral.
UACGAAGGGAGCUAGCGUUGUUCGGAAUCACUGGGCGUAAAGCGCACGUAGGCGGACAUGUAAGUUGGGGGUGAAAUCCCGGGGCUCAACCCCGGAAUUGCCUUCAAGACUGCAAGUCUGGAGGUCAGGAGAGGCGAGCGGAAUUCCGAGUGUAGAGGUGAAAUUCGUAGAUAUUCGGAGGAACACCAGUGGCGAAGGCGGCUCGCUGGACUGAUACUGACGCUGAGGUGCGAAAGCGUGGGGAGCAAACAGG